RNAcentral lists this transfer RNA (74 nucleotides) under Mycobacterium intracellulare. RNAcentral describes it as "tRNA-Gln". It matches the Rfam family "tRNA". Rfam says of the family: Transfer RNA (tRNA) molecules are approximately 80 nucleotides in length. Their secondary structure includes four short double-helical elements and three loops (D, anti-codon, and T loops). Further hydrogen bonds mediate the characteristic L-shaped molecular structure. tRNAs have two regions of fundamental functional importance: the anti-codon, which is responsible for specific mRNA codon recognition, and the 3' end, to which the tRNAs corresponding amino acid is attached (by aminoacyl-tRNA synthetases). tRNAs cope with the degeneracy of the genetic code in two manners: having more than one tRNA (with a specific anti-codon) for a particular amino acid; and 'wobble' base-pairing, i.e. permitting non-standard base-pairing at the 3rd anti-codon position. RNAcentral also lists the same sequence under 3 other names. Lineage: Bacteria; Bacillati; Actinomycetota; Actinomycetes; Mycobacteriales; Mycobacteriaceae. The record is from RNAcentral.
UGCCUCGUAGGGUAAUUCGGUAGCCCACCGGACUUUGGUUCCGGGCAGUGCAGGUUCGAGUCCUGCCGAGGCAG